This 240-nucleotide ribosomal RNA is filed under the name uncultured bacterium. RNAcentral describes it as "partial 16S ribosomal RNA". It matches the Rfam family "Bacterial small subunit ribosomal RNA", at positions 118 to 352 of the family's 1533-position model. The record is from RNAcentral.
UGAGGAACAUGACCUUCGGCGGGGGAUAGCCGGCCCAACGGCCGGGUAAUACCGCGUACGACCACUCGGGGACAUCCCUAGGUGGUGAAAGCAGCAAUGCGCCGAUUGAGUGCCUCGCGGCCUAUCAGCUAGUUGGUGGGGUAACGGCUCACCAAGGCAACGACGGGUAGCUGGUCUGAGAGGAUGGCCAGCCACAUUGGAACUGAGACACGGUCCAGACCUCCGUACGGGGAGGNAGCG